Molecule: RNA transcript, 820 nt
Organism: Branchiostoma floridae (Florida lancelet)
Lineage: Eukaryota; Metazoa; Chordata; Leptocardii; Amphioxiformes; Branchiostomatidae
Gene name: phosducin-like protein
Exons: 7
Source: RefSeq, a predicted model, not a curated record
AUAUAAUAUGUUUGUCCGCAGCUGAAUGAUGAUGACAAGACAGAUGGCCGGGAGCAGGAGGAGGAUGUUGAGCUUGACGAGGAUUUCCUGCGGUGGUACCGGGAGCAGAGACUUCGGGAGAUGCAGCAGAAAGCCGCCAGCUUACCGACGUUUGGACAUGUUUUUGACCUGACGAGAAGUCAAUAUGUGGACGCCAUCGACAAGGAGAACAAACAUGUCUUAAUCAUCAUCCACAUCUUUGAGCAGUUUGUGCCAGGAUGUGAUGCCGUCAACGGCUGUUUUCAGUGUCUAGCUCAGGACCAUCCUCGGGUAAAGUUCUGCCGGAUCCAGUCGUCGGAGGCAGACGUCAGUCAGACAUUCACGUCCAAAGGCCUGCCUGCGAUUCUGGCGUACCGGGGCGGCCAGCUGGUGGCGAACUUCCUGCGAAUCACAGACCAGCUGGGCGAGGACUUCUUCGCUGGAGACUUGGAGUCCUUCUUAGUGGAACACGGGCUGCUCCAGUCUAAAGCGGACGUGCCGACCGUUCUGCAGGAGUCCCACAGUCAGGACGACGACAGCGACUUCGAUGUGGACUGAGGCAGUUUUUGUGAAGAACCAUGUUUGUUUGUCACAGUCCAGGUUUCCUCAAAAACACACCUCCAUGUUCCACAGGUCUGACAACACAGAAUAACAAGGUUCUUCAUCCACAACCAGACACAAAUGCAAAGACAGAUAGAGCUAACGUUUCAAUGACUAUGCGUCACCUUCUUCAGGCAAUUCUGACUGGUUCACAUUGCACUGCAGCUGUAGGUGGCGCUGCUUACAGAUGCGGUCACAAACA